RNAcentral lists this unclassified non-coding RNA (391 nucleotides) under soil metagenome. Its description in RNAcentral is "partial contains 5.8S ribosomal RNA, internal transcribed spacer 2, and large subunit ribosomal RNA". The stretch from base 1 to 122 matches the Rfam family "5.8S ribosomal RNA", at positions 35 to 154 of the family's 154-position model. The record is from RNAcentral.
GAUGAAGAACGUAGCGAAAUGCGAUACUUGGUGUGAAUUGCAGAAUCCCGUGAACCAUCGAGUCUUUGAACGCAAGUUGCGCCCGAAGCCAUUAGGCCGAGGGCACGCCUGCCUGGGCGUCACACGUCGUUGCCCCCCCAUCUACUCCUUCGGGAUUGCGGGGGGCGGAUGAUGUCCUCCCGUGCGCCUCGCCGCGCGGUUGGCAUAAAUGCCAAGUCCUCGGCGACGCACGCCCCGACAAUCGGUGGUUGCGAAACCUCGGUUGCCCGUCGUGUGCGGUCGUCGCGCAUCGAGGGCUCGAAAAAAUUGCCGGGUUCCGGCUCGGCUUUCAACGCGACCCCAGGUCAGGCGGGGUUACCCGCUGAAUUUAAGCAUAUCAAUAAGCGGAGGA